CGGCAAUGACCUCCGCCAGCUCCCUCAGCACACGUGGAUAACAUGGAGUAGGAGGACGUAUCUCUUAUUUUUCCUGGAAGGUGCUUCUCAGAAGCAAUGAAAGCAGCACUCAGCCCCCAGCUCACCCCAGACUUGUGGCAGCAGAGGCUCCAGUUUGUUAGACUUCGGUGUGUGGGCACGUGGAGGCAGCUGAAGCCAUUUUGAAUUUGUUGUCUUUUAGUGGUAUGUUGGUAUGGGUUACUUGUGAGCCAAGUGGCUGCUUGGAGUGUUUGCUCAUAAAUGUAGCCUCAGUAUCUCAGUUUCACACACAUCAAAGGAUAACUGUGCCAUGCUUUCUCCAAGCCCUGGGCAUUUUUUUCAUGUAAAAUACACUGUAGGAAAAGCUGAGCACACUUCAAAACAUCUGUCUCAGGACUCAGCUGCUGCCAUACAUUGUUUACUGCAGGCAGCAAAGCCUGUGCCUGAAAGAAGGCACCCAGACUGGGCUGUGCUGUGACUGCUCCCUUGGCUGCCUCGGUAUUUCACCUAACUUGAAUCAAGCAUUGAUGUGCUGCAUGAAAUCCUUUGUUAACUGGGCCAAAGCAAGUAUUUCCUAGCCUUUAUAUUAAAUUGCUAAUAAUAUAUUUGUACGAAUCUCCAAUAGUAGCUUGAAAAAGUAUCCUACCAAGUGGCAGAAACUAAACUGUCAUGUUAAAUAUCCACUUUAUGCAUGUCUGCUCUUAUACCUGACUAUUCAAAUAUUUGUGUAACCCGGCUUAAUUACAGGAAAUCAGUUUUAAUCCCCCAAUUAACAUUGCAAAUAACAUCAUUAAUAAUCCCAGUCAAAUCUUCCUCUCUCUUUUUUUUUUUUUUUAAUAAGAUCGUUCUGUCCAUGCAUGCUGUCAGCACCACACCACUGAGUGUGCGGUGUGAGCCAACCUGUUACAGCCAUUAGUUCCUGUUUGCAGUGCCAGUACCUGCUUGUGACACCGCCAGUGCAAGGAGCAGUGCCUUCAGGAGCUUCUGCAGGAAUUGUGGAGGAGAAGGCUCUGAGCUGCUUGGUAGGAAGGCUCCUGUUAGCCACAGAGAAGAACUGAGAGGCUUCUCUCUUUGUUUUCACCACAAGGACAAGUGCUGUUUCAGUGAACAGCUUGCUGGACAGCAGAACAAAUGCUCAAGCUGCCAUCUGGACACGGCAUAUGCUCAGCAGGGUUUUCAGGACAGCCAGAGGCCAUCAAAGCUGGUGGGUGUCAGUGCUCAGCAAGGACCUCAAGGAAGAAAUUCUGGCUAGAAUUUGAUUUUGGAGAGAAUCUUACUGAUUGCCAGUGAGCAUUACAGCCUCCGAGGGGAAAAUUCUGCCUGUUGGUGGGGAGGAGGUGCACCGCUCUGAGCUGACAUCUAAUCUGUGGGAGCAGCUUGUGCAGAGCGUGCAGACACAGCCUGGAGCUGUUGGCUGGAGCAGCUCGGUGGGGAGGGACUGGGGGCAAUGGUGGCAGCCAGAGCCAGCAGGGUGCCCAGUAAUGUGCCCAGCUCUGAGGGCAGACCGCGUUCUGGGUGCAUUGAACGCAGCAUGGCCAGCUGGUCAGGAGCGGGAAUUCUCCCGUUAUGUGUAACGCUGGUAUGGCCUCACCUCGAGUCUUGUGUGCAGCUCUGUGUGGGCUGCGCAGUGUGAAAGGGACGUGAAGGUCCUUGGAGGCGUCCCGAGGAGGACACCGAGCGGGCAGCAGGGCUGGGAGAUGUGUGCUGUGAGGAGAGCCUGAGGGCACCGGAGUUGCCUGGUCUGAAGAGCAGGAGGCUGAGAGGCGGCCUCACCGCGCCCUGCAGCCCCUGAGGAGGAGGAGCUGCUGGGAUCUGCUCCUGGGAAGUGGUGGUAGGAUGGGAACUGUGCAGAGAUGUGCCAGGGGAGGCUCAGAGUGGGCUUCAGGAAAUGUCCCCAUACUGUGAGGGUAGUCAGAGAUGGGAAGAUGGUUCCUAGUGAUGCCCUGAGCCUGUUGGUUUUCAAGAGGCAUUUGGACAACGCACUCCAUCAUUCACUUUUACUGGUCAGGCUAUUGGAUUCCAUGACCCUUGUAGAUCCCUUCCAACUGAACUGUUCCGUUGUCAAGUGGUGUCUGCCGCUGGAGGUUGGUUGUUUUCUGUCUUGGCAGUAUGGAUAUCACAGGCCUUCCAGAUUCCUGUGAUAGUUGUAUCCUUUUUCCUAAAGACAGAAGCCUCUCAUCCCUGCUUCCUCUGUGGAAUUCAGACUCUUCUCCACCUCUCAGAGCCCCAGAUCGCCCAUGGGUACCAGGCACGCUCACAAGGCUGGCAAGUGGGAUUCGGGUUCUUCUAGGAAAUAAACAUCAGGAAGACCUGCAUCACUUAGUGUGUGCUUCUCAUUUGUUAAAGAGGAAUUUUCACACAGAAAACUGUUUAAAUCAGGUUACAGAAGCACUAAAUACUACAAAAUACAAGGUUCUGUUUUACUUAGCCCCUAUUUAGGCGUGAGUCUUCAGCACUUCUUUGUACUUUUACUGUAAAGGCUCUGCUCUCUGUAGUGGGGUAGGUCAGGCAGACUUCUAUACUAGUUAGACUUCAUUUUUUUUUUUUUUUAAUCUUCCCACAGCAGCUCGGAGCUGUAAGAAUGUAUUCAGCUUAUAAAAUGAUGGCAGCAAAUUCCCUUCUUAGCAAAAGAUUUCUUUUAAUAAGAAGGGAAUCUUUUAAUGUUGUCAUUAUUCACGAGGGAGGACUGAUGUGCAUGGAAAGGUAGAUGGCAGUGUUUUAUGUAAAUGUUGCUGUAAGCAUCACUGAUGAGUAUUAAAAAUGUAUUGGAUGUAUGUUAGGGUAACAGUUUGCCUUGUAUUAAGCAGGCUUUGUAAAUAGCUUUGCCUUUUAUUUAAACAGGUCAUCGUACCAUUGCCUAUUGCCUACAACUUUUGCCUGCAACUUUUAUCUUAUCGGAUGUCUUUGAUUAAAAUAGUGUGAUUUGUUGAAUUUUCUUUAUUUGCACUUUUCUGGGAUGUCUGUACAGUCUGCUUGUAGUCCACCUAUCUGAACUGUACAGAUACAGUGCAUGCUUACUAAAAAAGAAAAUAUAGCUGCUUUUAACCCCUUCACACAUUUAUCCUCAACUUAUUCUGAAAUUUAAUCCUGUUUCCUCUAUGUUCAUAGCACUACUUCUUUAAUAUUAGUUUUCUAAGGAAACACUGAGGACAAGGAAGAAAAUCUACAGAGUAUCAAUAUAAUGAGCAACUCAACAGCACAUGUAGUCAUAACACAGUAUAACUAUAAUGUUGCUUUUUGGCUGUUAAAUACAUUUUUAAUUUUCUUUCUCUGAUUUCUCAGGUAAAGAACAUCUCCACAUCUAAAGAGAUUUGUUCUAAUAAAUGGCAUUUUGAAUCCAUCAUUAUUUUUCAGGCUUCUGGCACUGUUGUUGAAAACAAGCAUCAGAACUUUUCAGAGUGAAAACCAGAAGUGCUUUGAAGCUACUCAGUUAUCUUCUGUUGCAGAAGACCUGUUCUCUGAAAGACUUUUGUAUAGAUGUUGGAAGUUCUGGGGCAUAAGAUUGUAUUAAGAUUUCCACCUAUUCUGUCAGGCUUUUUUAUAGUAAUUCACUCCACUGAAGAAAAAAAAAAAAGCCAGAACAGUUCAGUAGUCUCAUGCCUACUUAACAUUGGUUUCAACCCAUAACUGCUCAAAGACCAGUUCCCAUAAGCCAGAUUUCUCUGAAAUCGAAAUUUAAUGUUGAACUGAAUUUGAGCAAGUAUAUAGAUGCAUAGUUUCAUAACAGCCAUCCAUGGUAAUAAAUAAAUAAAUAAAAAUAAAAAUCAAGUAGCUUAAAUAAGCAACAGCUGGAGGUUAUAUCCCUGUUGUGUCCAACAACAAAAACAUAGAAGUCUUUAAGUAAAGGACCAGAAAAUUGUAACUUAAAAAAAACUAAUUCUACCAGAGAAACUUGUUAGUUGUUGUAGCUGCUCAUGGAGCAGAUGUUCCACUUACUUUAUGAAUUAAGAAAAUAAAGUGAAGAGAGAGAGCCCACCAGCACACAUGGAGGACUUCUGUCUUCAGAUUCUUCUUCACUACUGGACAGCAUCUCUAAAAUCACGUGUGCUGAGAUUCAUAGGAAGGAGCCAGUAGGACUCAGAAUGGUGUCAUUCCCAUAAAAAGGAGAAAAAAAAAUAUACAAAGGCAGAACAUGAGAAUCAAGAUGGAAUGUGGGAAACAGCUUUUCAUUGUCCAAUGCAAACAAAUGAAGGAGCAAUAUCAUCACUUCUACAGGUCAUCAUUUGCAAGAAGAUUGAAAGCAUUUCUUGAGCAGAGCAUAUUGUGGGAGUGAAUGGAAGAGCACAAAACAAAUGGCAUAUUCUGUUUGACAGAUCAGACCUGCCAGGUCUGAAGAUGCAAGUACCAAGGCAUAGCUUAGAGUAGCCCUAAAGCUGCUUUAAGUUGUGCUUGGAAAACAGUUGUUGGACUCGAAGGGGUCAUUUUAGUAUAUUUUAAAAUCAUGUUUAUAGUUCACACCAUUUUUUCUGUAAUCAUUCUAGGUAUUGUCACAAACAAUGAUCUGACUUCUUCAGUAUCAUUUUUACUUUUAAUAAAAUUUCAAAAAUGUAACCUA
Molecule: non-coding RNA, 4573 nt
Organism: Meleagris gallopavo (turkey)
Lineage: Eukaryota; Metazoa; Chordata; Aves; Galliformes; Phasianidae
Source: RefSeq, a predicted model, not a curated record